This 705-nucleotide ribosomal RNA is filed under the name Hypoxylon sp. RNAcentral's name for it is "partial large subunit ribosomal RNA". It matches the Rfam family "Eukaryotic large subunit ribosomal RNA", at positions 191 to 920 of the family's 3401-position model. The record is from RNAcentral. Lineage: Eukaryota; Fungi; Ascomycota; Sordariomycetes; Xylariales; Hypoxylaceae.
UGGAACGGGACGCCAGAGAGGGUGAGAGCCCCGUACGGUUGGACGCCUAACCUAUAUAUAGCUCCUUCGACGAGUCGAGUAGUUUGGGAAUGCUGCUCUAAAUGGGAGGUAAAUUUCUUCUAAAGCUAAAUACCGGCCAGAGACCGAUAGCGCACAAGUAGAGUGAUCGAAAGAUGAAAAGCACUUUGAAAAGAGGGUUAAAUAGCACGUGAAAUUGUUGAAAGGGAAGCGUUUGCGACCAGACCUUUUCCAGGGGGAUCAACCGGUGUUCUCACCGGUGCACUUCCCCUGGUUUAGGCCAGCAUCGGUUCUUUGAGGGGCAUAAAGGCAGGGGGAACGUAGCUCUUUCGGGAGUGUUAUAGCCCCCUGCGUAAUACCCCUCGGGGGACCGAGGACCGCGCUCUGCAAGGAUGCUGGCGUAAUGGUCGUCAACGACCCGUCUUGAAACACGGACCAAGGAGUCGAACAUUUGUGCGAGUGUUUGGGUGUUAAACCCUCACGCGUAAUGAAAGUGAACGGAGGUGAGAGCCCUUACGGGCGCAUCAUCGACCGAUCCUGAUGUCUUCGGAUGGAUUUGAGUAAGAGCAUAACUGUUCGGACCCGAAAGAUGGUGAACUAUGCGUGGAUAGGGUGAAGCCAGAGGAAACUCUGGUGGAGGCUCGCAGCGGUUCUGACGUGCAAAUCGAUCGUCAAAUCUGCGCAUGG